This 429-nucleotide ribosomal RNA is filed under the name Chloroflexota bacterium. Its description in RNAcentral is "Chloroflexi bacterium partial 16S ribosomal RNA". It matches the Rfam family "Bacterial small subunit ribosomal RNA", at positions 355 to 776 of the family's 1533-position model. Lineage: Bacteria; Bacillati; Chloroflexota. The record is from RNAcentral.
UGGGGAAUAUUGCACAAUGGGCGCAAGCCUGAUGCAGCCAUGCCGCGUGUAUGAAGAAGGCCUUCGGGUUGUAAAGUACUUUCAGUCGGGAGGAAGGUGUCAAGGUUAAUAACCUUGGCAAUUGACGUUACCGACAGAAGAAGCACCGGCUAACUCCGUGCCAGCAGCCGCGGUAAUACGGAGGGUGCAAGCGUUAAUCGGAAUUACUGGGCGUAAAGCGCACGCAGGCGGUUGAUUGAGUCAGAUGUGAAAUCCCCGGGCUUAACCCGGGAAUUGCAUCUGAUACUGGUCAGCUAGAGUCUUGUAGAGGGGGGUAGAAUUCCAUGUGUAGCGGUGAAAUGCGUAGAGAUGUGGAGGAAAACCGGUGGCGAAGGCGGCCCCCUGAACAAAGACUGACGCUCAGGUGCAAAAGCGUGGGGAGCAAACAGG